This 253-nucleotide ribosomal RNA is filed under the name uncultured bacterium. RNAcentral describes it as "partial 16S ribosomal RNA". It matches the Rfam family "Bacterial small subunit ribosomal RNA", at positions 524 to 776 of the family's 1533-position model. The record is from RNAcentral.
UACAGAGGGCCCAAGCGUUGUUCGGAUUCACUGGGCGUAAAGGGUGCGUAGGUGGUAGGGUAAGUUUGAUGUGAAAGCUCCGAGCUCAACUCGGAAAUGGCAUUGAAUACUAUCCUGCUUGAGGGUUGGAGGGGGGACUGGAAUUCUCGGUGUAGCAGUGAAAUGCGUAGAUAUCGAGAGGAACACCGGUGGCGAAGGCGAGUCCCUGGACAACACCUGACACUGAGGCAAGAAAGCUAGGGGAGCAAACAGG